CCACUACCAGUGUCACCUAAAACCACAUCAUCAUCCACACCUCCUAGUGAGACCCCAAAGCCCAGAUUCCGUCGUACAAAAAUGAUAGCAAGAAAAGUUGUUGCGACUAGUCCCUUGAGGAAGGCUCUAAACGAAAGAUUGAAGUCAAGUCAAAAGAAAGAAACUACAGCAAAAGAAACUGAUUCCAGUUCUGAGUUUGAUGAUUACAUCUAUACUAGUGAAGGAGAUGAACCUGGGCCUUAUGACAAUGUCACUCAACAAGAAACCCCAAAAGAGGUAAAUCCAAGUAUUGUUUCUGAUGACUUAGGGGAAAAUGGUAGAAAAUAGGUAUGUCCUGAUAGGGGGCUGCUAAAGAUGUUGAUAUGGGUGAUUAUGUGAAAUUGAAGAAAAAUAAUAGGAAGAAGGUGCUAGCUAUAUGUGGGAGUGGGGAAGAAGGGGCCUCGAAAUCAGGGGAAGUGAGUCUAGAGAGGCUGCUGAAGGGUUAGUUGGUUUGUGCAAACAAACUGUUGAACCUGGUCUAUCUGCAGAGGAAACUCUAUUUGAGAUGAUGAAGAAGGUUGGGGCCAGUUAUGAUCCCAAGAAACGCAAGGCUUCCUCACAAAGGACCCCUGUUGCGUCCAAACCAACCAAGAAAUCCAAACCCUCAACACCUUUAUGAUCCCAAGAAAUGCAGGCUUCCUCACAAAGGACCCUUGUUAGGUCCAAACCAACCAAGAAAUCCAAACCUUCAACACCCAAGUCUGUUCCUAGGGUUAGCAACUAGAAGCAAGGUUAGGGAGAGUGAAGCUGGGUUGCAGAAAACUUUAGAGGAGAGUAAGGGAAAAAGAAAAGAAAAAGGGAAGAUAGGUGAGAGUUCAGAAGUUCCAGCUGAAAGAAUGAAGAGGAGAUGGAACUGGUCCAUCAAGAAAGAAAUACUACUGUGCAGGUUCUGUUGGAAAUAAUGUAUAUCUAUGAUAUGUGCGCUUUGGGUGUAUGAGCAUGAUUUUCAGGUAUAGGUUUUGAUGAAUGACAAACAAUGAAGUCAAGUGUCAAACAACGAUAUANNNN
This 1047-nucleotide long non-coding RNA is filed under the name Nicotiana benthamiana. Its description in RNAcentral is "long non-coding RNA (NBEN_LNC025636)". Lineage: Eukaryota; Viridiplantae; Streptophyta; Magnoliopsida; Solanales; Solanaceae. The record is from RNAcentral.